UACGUAGGGGGCUAGCGUUGUCCGGAAUCAUUGGGCGUAAAGCGCGUGUAGGCGGUCCGGUAAGUCCGCUGUGAAAGUCGGGGGCUCAACCCUCGGAUGCCGGUGGAUACUGUCGGGCUUGAGUACGGAAGAGGCGAGUGGAAUUCCUGGUGUAGCGGUGAAAUGCGCAGAUAUCAGGAGGAACACCAAUUGCGAAGGCAGCUCGCUGGGACGUUACUGACGCUGAUGCGCGAAAGCCAGGGGAGCAAACGGG
RNAcentral lists this ribosomal RNA (253 nucleotides) under uncultured bacterium. RNAcentral's name for it is "partial 16S ribosomal RNA". It matches the Rfam family "Bacterial small subunit ribosomal RNA", at positions 524 to 776 of the family's 1533-position model. The record is from RNAcentral.